AUGGAACAAUGUAGGCAAGGGAAGUCGGCAAAACGGAUCCGUAACUUCGGGAAAAGGAUUGGCUCUGAGGACUGGGCUCGGGGGUCCCGGCCCCGAACCCGUCGGCUGUCGGCGGAUUGCUCGAGCUGCUCACGCGGCGAGAGCGGGUCGCCGCGUACCGGUCGGGGGACGGACCGGGAAUCGCCCCUUCGGGGGCUUUCCCCGAGCAUGAAACAGUCGACUCAGAACUGGUACGGACAAGGGGAAUCCGACUGUUUAAUUAAAACAAAGCAUUGCGAUGGUCCUCGCGGAUGCUGA
This 297-nucleotide ribosomal RNA is filed under the name Triticum aestivum (bread wheat). Its description in RNAcentral is "partial small subunit ribosomal RNA". It matches the Rfam family "Eukaryotic large subunit ribosomal RNA", at positions 1890 to 2184 of the family's 3401-position model. Lineage: Eukaryota; Viridiplantae; Streptophyta; Magnoliopsida; Poales; Poaceae. The record is from RNAcentral.